CAGGAAAGAUGAGUGUUGGGGAAAAGAGGUGGGACAGGCAGUGAUAGCCAGGUCCUGGAGGGCCUUGUUUCCGGAACAGAUGUUUGGAAUUAACCGACGAGAAUGGAAAACCAAUCAGGGGUCUGAAGGUAAGGGGCGAGCGGAGACGCAACGUGGCUGCAUUGAAGGCGGAGCACACGUGCUCCCGUGUGAAGUGGGCGGCCGGCGAGGGAGAGCUCCAGGCAGCAAGGCUGGUCCAAGCAGGGAUGCAGGGACGCAGAGCCCCGCAGUGGCAGUGUGAGAAGCAGGAAGCGUGGUGAGGAUCGGCAGGAAAGAGAACUGAGAGGGCUUCGAGGAACCAUUAAAGUUGACAGCUAGCAUCGAUAUUGCAUCUUAUGAAGAAACAUUUUUCUAAAGGGCUGACACUGGCACUCCUUCCCUGAAAUUUCACAUAGACUACCAGAUCAUACGCCCUGAAGCCAGAGGGCACACAGUGCCUCUUAAAGCAGUUUCAGAAGUAGAAGGAACUGGAGUAUCAGAGAGAUACGCAUAUGCUGCUGCUGCUGCUAAGUCACUUCGGUCAUGUCCAGCUCUGUGUGACCCACCAGGCUCAUAGACGUCAGCCCACCAGGCUCCCCUGUCCCUGGGAUUCUCCAGGCAAGAACACUGGAGUGGGUUGCCAUUUCCUUCUCCAAUGCAUGAAAGUGAAAAGUGAAAGUGAAGUCGCUCAGUCGUGUCCGACUCUUAGCGACCCCAUGGACUGCAGCCUACCAGGCUCCUCCAUCCAUGAGAUUUUCCAGGCAAGAGUACUGGAGUGGGGUGCCGUUGCCUUCUCCUUAGUAUAUGCAGAGACAGAAAAUUUUAGUCUUGACAAGUUCAACUCCCUCUUAGGCCAUUUGACUAUGGGCAAAAUAAUGAACUUCUAUAACCUCAGUGUCCCAUCUGUAUAGGAUGGAGGAAAAAUAGCUCCUUCCUCAUGAGUUGUGUGAAUCAGGCAAGAUAAUGUAUGUGAGUCCUUUUGCACAGUCAGUUCAGUUCAGUCGCUCAGUCGUGUCUGACUCUUUGCAACCCCAUGGACUGCAGCACACCAGGCUUCCCUGGUGUGGAAGUGGGCCAUUCCUGGCUUUGAAGAUGAAGGAAAAAGCCGUAAGCCAAGGAAUGCAAGCAGCCUCUAAAAACUAUAAAAGCCUGGAGCAUUCUCUCCUGGAAAACAUUCUAAAAACAUCUAAGAACAUUCUCUCCUAAAAACAUUCUCUCCUGGAGCCUCAAUGGACAUGAGUUUGAGCAAGCUCCGGGAGUUGGGGAGUACUGGAGUGGGGUGCCAUUGCCAUCUCCAAGCAGCAGCAGCAUUAAGCAUCUAUCUACUCUGUGCUAGAGACCAAGUUAGGUGAUGGGAAUACAGUUCUUUCACUCAACAUAUAUAUUGAAUGAGUGGAUUGUAUAUAUCUAAAGGUUUUACUUGUAUCAUUUUUCAUAUAGAAUAAAAC
This is a long non-coding RNA of Bos taurus (domestic cattle), 1466 nucleotides long. NCBI's taxonomy places the organism in Eukaryota, Metazoa, Chordata, Mammalia, Artiodactyla, Bovidae. The record is from Ensembl.